RNAcentral lists this ribosomal RNA (404 nucleotides) under uncultured bacterium. Its description in RNAcentral is "bacterial SSU rRNA". It matches the Rfam family "Bacterial small subunit ribosomal RNA", at positions 355 to 775 of the family's 1533-position model. The record is from RNAcentral.
UAGGGAAUAUUGCACAAUGGGCGAAAGCCUGAUGCAGCAACGCCGCGUGCGCGAUGAAGGCCUUCGGGUCGUAAAGCGCUUUUCGGGGAGAUGAGGAAGGACAGUAUCCCCGGAAUAAGUCUCGGCUAACUACGUGCCAGCAGCCGCGGUAACACGUAGGAGGCAAGCGUUAUCCGAAUUUACUGGGCGUAAAGCGCGUGCAGGCGGUUCGGUAAGUUGGAUGUGAAAUCUCCCGGCUCAACUGGGAGAGGUCGUUCAAUACUGUCGGACUAGAGGAUGGUAGAGGGAGGUGGAAUUCCCGGUGUAGUGGUGAAAUGCGUAGAUAUCAAGAGGAACACCGGUGGCGAAGGCGGCUCUCUGGACUGAUACUGACGCUGAGGCACGAAAGCUGGGGGAGCAAACAG